RNAcentral lists this transfer RNA (76 nucleotides) under Escherichia coli. RNAcentral describes it as "tRNA-Thr". It matches the Rfam family "tRNA". From Rfam's summary of the family: Transfer RNA (tRNA) molecules are approximately 80 nucleotides in length. Their secondary structure includes four short double-helical elements and three loops (D, anti-codon, and T loops). Lineage: Bacteria; Pseudomonadati; Pseudomonadota; Gammaproteobacteria; Enterobacterales; Enterobacteriaceae. RNAcentral also lists the same sequence under 2 other names. The record is from RNAcentral.
GCCGGUUUAGCUCAGUUGGUAGAGCGCCUGCCUUGUAAGCAGAAUGUCAGCGGUUCGAGUCCGUUAAUCGGCACCA